Non-coding RNA from Myotis davidii, 75 nucleotides. The record is from Rfam. NCBI's taxonomy places the organism in Eukaryota, Metazoa, Chordata, Mammalia, Chiroptera, Vespertilionidae.
GGUGAUUCUCGGGUGAUGCACCCUGGAAUCGGGCUCCCUCCUCUCGGGCUCCAGGUGCGUCACCCGAGAACCACA